Long non-coding RNA from Gallus gallus (chicken), 811 nucleotides. RefSeq lists it as uncharacterized. NCBI's taxonomy places the organism in Eukaryota, Metazoa, Chordata, Aves, Galliformes, Phasianidae. The record is from RefSeq and is a predicted model, not a curated record. The transcript has 4 exons.
GGCAGAGGAGUGGGUGUGCUUUCCAAGCCGGGCACCUUCAUCAAAUGACAUCCAGAAUAAGAUGCUGUAUCACCUUCCCAGGACUGGAGAUGAGGCUGACAAACCUGUAGCUUCCUGGCUCCUCCUCCUUGCCCUUUUUGAAGACUGGAGUGGCAUUGGCUUUCCUUCAGUUAUUAGGCACCAUUCCUGUUUUCCAUGACCUUUCAAAGAUGAUAGGGAGUGCGCCAUGAUCUUCCCCAGACCAGAGGUGAGACUAACAGAUUCAUCAGAUGAUGACAGUAAGAAUUCACAACACUGGAAGGACAUUCAUCCUUGAGUCACAAAAUCUACUUAGAAUAAUGAUCUCAUGACACUGUAUGUUGGCAUGGAUUCACUCAUUUUUGAGAACUUGCUGUACAAGCAAGGCUGGAUAUAUCUCAGUGAGAAUUUGUUCCACCUUUUCUGCAGAAGAAGAGAAUACCUACAAAGGGGAGAAAUUGCAUAGAAAGUUCUGACCACUCCCCCCAUCAAAAUGAGUACCAGCUCAGAUGAAAUUUUCCAAUGCAGUAGUAGUAGUUUCAUCAGCAUAUAGGGUCUGCUGUGUAAAAAUAGACUUUUUACAUAAUUUCUAAUACUUUCAUUUUAUCAGUCUUGCUGUAACCUCUUUGUCUUUUAUUGACUCUGUAAGACUAAUAUAUAAUAACUAUAAUACAAAUGGUAUCUAAAUUUUGUUUCUUCUUUCAAGAUAUUGGGAAAUAAUUUAUAAAAUUUAGUUUUAAUGUAAGAAUGAUUUUCAAUGUAAUAAUAAAUUAACUACUAAGAAAAGAACAAA